RNAcentral lists this ribosomal RNA (395 nucleotides) under uncultured bacterium. RNAcentral describes it as "bacterial SSU rRNA". It matches the Rfam family "Bacterial small subunit ribosomal RNA", at positions 505 to 898 of the family's 1533-position model. The record is from RNAcentral.
GUGUCAGCAGCCGCGGUAAUACGUAGGUGGCAAGCGUUGUCCGGAUUUACUGGGCGUAAAGGGUGCGUAGGUGGAUAUUUAAGUCAGAUGUGAAACCCCUGGGCUCAACUCAGGGACUGCAUUUGAAACUGGAUAUCUGGAGUGCAGGAGAGGUAAGUGGAAUUCCUAGUGUAGCGGUGAAAUGCGUAGAGAUUAGGAAGAACACCAGUGGCGAAGGCGACUUACUGGACUGUAACUGACACUGAGGCACGAAAGCGUGGGUAGCAAACAGGAUUAGAUACCCUGGUAGUCCACGCCGUAAACGAUGAGUACUAGGUGUAGGGGGUAUCGACUCCCUCUGUGCCGCAGUUAACACAAUAAGUACUCCGCCUGGGAAGUACGAUCGCAAGAUUAAA